Molecule: ribosomal RNA, 1172 nt
Filed under: Pseudoalteromonas distincta
Lineage: Bacteria; Pseudomonadati; Pseudomonadota; Gammaproteobacteria; Alteromonadales; Pseudoalteromonadaceae
Description: partial 23S ribosomal RNA
Rfam family: Bacterial large subunit ribosomal RNA
Source: RNAcentral
UGCGUACCUUUUGUAUAAUGGGUCAGCGACUUAUAUUUUGUAGCGAGGUUAACCGAUUAGGGUAGCCGUAGGGAAACCGAGUCUUAACUGGGCGUAUAGUUGCAAGGUAUAGACCCGAAACCCGGUGAUCUAGCCAUGGGCAGGUUGAAGGUUGAGUAACAUCAACUGGAGGACCGAACCCACUAACGUUGAAAAGUUAGGGGAUGACCUGUGGCUAGGAGUGAAAGGCUAAUCAAACCGGGAGAUAGCUGGUUCUCCCCGAAAUCUAUUUAGGUAGAGCCUCGGACGAAUACUUACGGGGGUAGAGCACUGUUAAGGCUAGGGGGUCAUCCCGACUUACCAACCCUUUGCAAACUCCGAAUACCGUAAAGUACUAUCCGGGAGACACACGGCGGGUGCUAACGUCCGUCGUGAAGAGGGAAACAACCCAGACCGCCAGCUAAGGUCCCAAAGUCAUAGUUAAGUGGGAAACGAUGUGGAAAGGCCCAGACAGCCAGGAGGUUGGCUUAGAAGCAGCCAUCCUUUAAAGAAAGCGUAAUAGCUCACUGGUCGAGUCGGUCUGCGCGGAAGAUGUAACGGGGCUAAACUAUGCACCGAAGCUGCGGAUUCAAAAUUUAUUUUGAGUGGUAGGGGAGCGUUCUGUAAGCCGUUGAAGGUGAACCGGGAGGGUUGCUGGAGGUAUCAGAAGUGCGAAUGCUGACAUGAGUAACGAUAAUGCGGGUGAAAAACCCGCACGCCGGAAGACCAAGGGUUCCUAUCCCAUGUUAAUCAGGGUAGGGUAAGUCGACCCCUAAGGCGAGGCCGAAAGGCGUAGUCGAUGGGAAACGGGUUAAUAUUCCCGUACUUGGUAUAAUUGCGAUGGGGGGACGGAGCAGGCUAAACAAGCAUGGCGUUGGUUGUCCAUGUGAAAGUGAGUAGGUUGAGAGUUUAGGAAAAUCCGGACUCUUAAGACUGAGACACGAGACGAGCACCCAAGGGUGUGAAGUUGUUGAUGCCAUACUUCCAGGAAAAGCCUCUAAGCUUCAGAUUAUACCGAAUCGUACCCCAAACCGACACAGGUGGUCAGGUAGAGAAUACUAAGGCGCUUGAGAGAACUCGGGUGAAGGAACUAGGCAAAAUUGUACCGUAACUUCGGGAGAAGGUACGCUCCUAUCUGUGAUGAGACUUGCUCU